GGAUACUCCAACAGAUGAAGACAGGUCUCUGUUCUUUGAUCGUCUCAUAGAAGCUGCUUUGUCAAUUCAAGUUGAAGCUACAAAGAAGUCCGAUAAAUUGGACUCCCUUCCUGACCUUCCAAAGGCACCAAAGGUGUCUGCUGGACCAAAGGCAUCUGAAUUAAAAGCCAAAGCUGAAGCUCAGGGCCAUGCCCUUAGGCGAUUGAGGAUGUGCGAAGAAGUCCGAUAAAUUGAACGCCCUUCCUGACCUCCCAAAGGCACCAAAGGUGUCUGCUGGACCAAAGGCAUCUGAAUUAAAAGCCUUAGCUGAAGCUCAGGGCCAUGCCCUUAGGCGAUUGAGGAUGUGCCUGCGUGAUGUAUGCAACCG
This 367-nucleotide long non-coding RNA is filed under the name Nicotiana benthamiana. RNAcentral's name for it is "long non-coding RNA (NBEN_LNC008513)". Lineage: Eukaryota; Viridiplantae; Streptophyta; Magnoliopsida; Solanales; Solanaceae. The record is from RNAcentral.